AGCGUAGGUGGCUCGAUAAGUCAGAUGUGAAAUCCCCGGGCUCAACCUGGGAACUGCAUCUGAUACUGUUGAGCUAGAGUAUGUGAGAGGAAGGUAGAAUUCCAGGUGUAGCGGUGAAAUGCGUAGAGAUCUGGAGGAAUACCGAUGGCGAAGGCAGCCUUCUGGCAUAAUACUGACAACUGAGGCUCGAAAAGCGUGGGUAGCAAACA
This 209-nucleotide ribosomal RNA is filed under the name uncultured bacterium. Its description in RNAcentral is "partial 16S ribosomal RNA". It matches the Rfam family "Bacterial small subunit ribosomal RNA", at positions 568 to 774 of the family's 1533-position model. The record is from RNAcentral.